ACACUUCACAUUAAGCGGGCAGCGCCUAUAUAGGUCCUGCCCGUUUUUAAUGGGCUAUGGCGAUAAAUUGCGCCGUGUAAUAGGUACAGCGGACCCGGGGGCAGUACCCGGCGGCUCCACCAAAAUUCGCGGAUUUCCGCAGAUCCUGAUGGGGCCGAACCAGGAUCGACGUGUGCUGAAAGACGGUGUUUUUGCCCGGGCUGAAAACCCCGUAAAACUGUUCAAAACCUAUAAGUGCCAACGAUAACGAAGCACUCGCUAUUGCAGCGUAAUCUGACGUCCUAACGGACUGAUCUUACAAAGCUAAAGCGCGGUUGGACCCACCGGGCAACAGAAGCGGAUUCCG
This 346-nucleotide transfer-messenger RNA is filed under the name Aurantiacibacter sediminis. It matches the Rfam family "Alphaproteobacteria transfer-messenger RNA". From Rfam's summary of the family: Bacterial tmRNA, also known as 10Sa RNA or SsrA, is named for its dual tRNA and mRNA-like properties. Its role is to liberate the mRNA from a stalled ribosome. The record is from RNAcentral. Lineage: Bacteria; Pseudomonadati; Pseudomonadota; Alphaproteobacteria; Sphingomonadales; Erythrobacteraceae.